GACGAACGCUGGCGGCGUGCCUAAUACAUGCAAGUAGAACGCUGAAGGAGGAGCUUGCUCUUCUGGAUGAGUUGCGAACGGGUGAGUAACGCGUAGGUAACCUGCCUGGUAGCGGGGGAUAACUAUUGGAAACGAUAGCUAAUACCGCAUAAGAGUAGAUGUUGCAUGACAUUUACUUAAAAGGUGCAAUUGCAUCACUACCAGAUGGACCUGCGUUGUAUUAGCUAGUUGGUGGGGUAACGGCUUACCAAGGCGACGAUACAUAGCCGACCUGAGAGGGGGAUCGGCCACACUGGGACUGAGACACGGCCCAGACUCCUACGGGAGGCAGCAGUAGGGAAUCUUCGGCAAUGGACGGAAGUCUGACCGAGCAACGCCGCGUGAGUGAAGAAGGUUUUCGGAUCGUAAAGCUCUGUUGUAAGAGAAGAACGAGUGUGAGAGUGGAAAGUUCACACUGUGACGGUAGCUUACCAGAAAGGGACGGCUAACUACGUG
Molecule: ribosomal RNA, 495 nt
Filed under: uncultured bacterium
Lineage: Bacteria
Description: partial 16S ribosomal RNA
Rfam family: Bacterial small subunit ribosomal RNA
Source: RNAcentral